This 380-nucleotide ribosomal RNA is filed under the name uncultured eukaryote. Its description in RNAcentral is "partial 18S ribosomal RNA". It matches the Rfam family "Eukaryotic small subunit ribosomal RNA", at positions 592 to 976 of the family's 1831-position model. The record is from RNAcentral.
CAAUAGCGUAUAUUAAAGUUGUUGCAGUUAGAACGCUCGUAGUCGGAUUUCAGGGCGGGCCGACCGGUCUGCCGAUGGGUAUGCACUGGUCGGCGCGUCCUUCCUUCCGGAGACCGUCCCUACUCUUAACUGAGCGGGGGCGGGAGACGGGACUUUUACUUUGAAAAAAUCAGAGUGUUUCAAGCAGGCAGCUCGCUCUUGCAUGGAUUAGCAUGGGAUAAUGAAAUAGGACUUUGGUGCUAUUUUGUUGGUUUCGAACACCGAAGUAAUGAUGAGAAGGGACAGUCAGGGGCACUCGUAUUCCGCCGAGAGAGGUGAAAUUCUCAGACCAGCGGAAGACGAACCACUGCGAAAGCAUUUGCCAGGGAUGUUUUCACUGA